This is a long non-coding RNA of Malus domestica (apple), 2006 nucleotides long. RefSeq lists it as uncharacterized. Lineage: Eukaryota; Viridiplantae; Streptophyta; Magnoliopsida; Rosales; Rosaceae. The record is from RefSeq and is a predicted model, not a curated record.
AACCAUUCAAGGUUCACGCCACCAAAUAUUCUCUCUCGCCUCUCACAACUUCAUGCGCCUCAGGAGUUCUUCUCCAGAUUUGCGCUCCAUGGAUUGUUUUCUAUGUCGAUCACCAUCGGAUUCGCGUCGAUCGUAUGGAGAUCUACGUGUUGAUGGUGGUUUGAGAUUGUGAGGUGAUGGUUUGAGCUGCUUUUGAAUUCAGCUGGUUUUACCAGCCCGAGCUUCUGUGUUCGUCGCUCUUCGAUUCGAAUUUACAGAUUUCGCAGACGGAGCUCUAACCAAAUCGGAGGAGAUUACAAGUAUCCGGCGGCGUUUCAGCAGCUGAUCCAAUUCGAUCUCGUGGUGGCCGAAGCAUGUUUAAUCUUAACCAAAGGGUCAUGGUUCAUGGUUGUAAUUUCAUGAGACUGAAGCUUUUAUAUCGUGGGAUUUGGGUUGGGGUUAUGGGUUGAUUUCGGAUGGAUGUAUAAGAUAUCGGGACGAAAGGCUCGGUGGAAGGGCCGAGUGCUGGACCGAUCUUUGUCAUCCGGCCUUUGCCAUGGCAGGUGCGCUUGCAUGGCAGGUCAAAAAAAUAUCUCAAUAAAAAAAUAACGAUUUUUGGUUCAGAGGGGAGACAGCAUGGGGUUUAUUUUUGCCCAGGGUCUCCCCUCCGGUGUGUGGUGUGCGUCCUCUGUCCUUUCUUGUUGUUUUGUCUCUUAUUUUCGCUCGCCCCCAACUGCAAACAGUCGGACAUGGAUUCUGGACAACUGCGGCCGCAUCGAUAUCUCAUCGCCAAAGGUAUUAAUCUAUUUCAACUGAUUUCAUCAAUCUAAUAAUGCUAAAUAAAGCCUGCCACUCACACAGGGAACAUAUAAUCACUUGCACAAUUAAUUAGCUUCUUGCUCAAAUUGUCUCAAAUCAAUAUGGGUUUUAUCUAAUUUUGUAAACACUAUAAAUUAUCUUUGUUGGAACUUGGUAAUUGAUUGAUGAUGCUAGUGGACGAUGCUUACAAUCUGUGGAGUUGUUCAAUCAAUCUCAAAUUACUCCAAAUUGUUUUCAAUCGACUUUAAAGGGAGCAAAUUUAUUUUAUCUGUUGAUUGUAAAAUAUAAAUUACAAUACUUGAUCACAAUUUUAAAGCUCCAACCGAAAGAUCCAACCACGAAUCAAAACUUUGUUUGAUAUAGUUGGUAAUAUCUGUCCACUUAUGCACAAACGUUGUCAUCCUACUAAACAAUUCCCGACACCUCCGAUUCGUUCCUGCUUACUUUUACCAGUCAUCCUUAUGAUACCAAAGUCUCUUCUGCACUGAUUAUUGCCUCGUUAUUAAUGUUAUGGUAGUUCAAAUUCUAUGAGCUGAGGAUGAGAUUAUCAUUUAAAUUGUUGGCAUUUGCAUUAAUAUUUGCUGAUAAACGGAUGUUAUUAGAUAUUGUGAGAUCUGUUAGUUGACGGAUCUUUUUAUGUAAUUAUGUUGGUUUUGGAUUCCAUUGCUGUAAGCCAUGUAUUGUAUUCCAAUUAGAUGAUUCUAGGGAGGUUUGAUUCCGGCAGAUUACUUCUCGGCGAGCCUGAAUGGCCAGAACGAAGCCUCUCAUCACAAUUACAAGUUAAACUAAAUUUCGGCUCAAAUACAAGCUGCUUGGUUGUGGGAUAGGUCCAGAAGUUAUUUUCGUGACAAUCUCUUUUCUGAGGAUUCGAGGUGACCAAUGAAACGAGUUGAGCUUCGCAUUCCUCCGUCUCUAAAGCUUUUAAGUAUUGGCAAGUAAUGUUUUCGGUUAAUUUACGUUUUGUGAUUUAAGUCAUUGCAAUUGAUCAUUCAUGGGUGUCCGCAUUAUCAUUUAUUUAUUCUAUUCAUUUGUUAAAAGAGUUUAGAUUGAAUAUUUUGCCCUAGUUUUGUUUGUUGUAUAGAAUUGCGGAGGAAUUACUGUUAAACUGGUGUCGUUUUUGUAGUACAUGAUUUUGGUUAUUUUUCAAACAGCUUCGGUGUAGUCGUUCUGUGUUUGUAUUCUGUAGUUUCUAUUUACAAUUACUUACA